UUGUUCCUACGGGGGGCAGCAGUAGGGAAUCUUCCACAAUGGGCGCAAGCCUGACCCAGCAACGCCGCGUGAAGGAAGAAGGCUUUCGGGUUGUAAACUUCUUUUCUCAGGGACGAAGAAAGUGACGGUACCUGAGGAAUAAGCCACGGCUAACUACGUGCCAGCAGCCGCGGUAAUACGUAGGUGGCAAGCGUUAUCCGGAUUUACUGGGUGUAAAGGGCGUGUAGGCGGGACUGCAAGUCAGAUGUGAAAACCACGGGCUCAACCUGUGGCCUGCAUUUGAAACUGUAGUUCU
This 295-nucleotide ribosomal RNA is filed under the name uncultured bacterium. RNAcentral describes it as "partial 16S ribosomal RNA". It matches the Rfam family "Bacterial small subunit ribosomal RNA", at positions 333 to 642 of the family's 1533-position model. The record is from RNAcentral.